This 405-nucleotide long non-coding RNA is filed under the name Setaria viridis. RNAcentral's name for it is "long non-coding RNA (SVIR_LNC008467)". Lineage: Eukaryota; Viridiplantae; Streptophyta; Magnoliopsida; Poales; Poaceae. The record is from RNAcentral.
CUGCCUCCCUUGAGCAAUCAGUGGGAUGCCCAACGUACUCACAGGUGCUAAUCGCAUAAACAACUGCUGAUCCGCUUAGAGCCGAGAGAUGAGCAGCGGGACAGAGACAGGGCUGUCCUCGCCCAUGGCAGGGUGGCACAUCUCCAGCAUGUCCAGCUCCCUGAACCGCUCCAGAACCCGCAUCUUGCACUCCUCAGCUGCCAUGACACCAGUGGAGAAGGCGCCGUGCACUGUGCCUGUGUACUUGACACUUGUAGCCUCCCCUGCGAAGAACAGGUUGUCCACAGGGAUGCGCAACUUCUCGUACAGGUCGCGGGGUUUAUUCACCCCAUCAAACGUGUAGGAACCAAGCGUGUUCUCAUCCGAGCCCCAGUGUGACACCAGGUAAUUUAUCUGCAAUAAAUU